AACUUUUAACAACGGAUCUCUUGGUUCUCGCAACGAUGAAGAACGUAGCAAAGUGCGAUAACUAGUGUGAAUUGCAUAUUCAGUGAAUCAUCGAGUCUUUGAACGCAACUUGCGCUCAUUGGUAUUCCAAUGAGCACGCCUGUUUCAGUA
This 150-nucleotide ribosomal RNA is filed under the name Mucor racemosus. Its description in RNAcentral is "5.8S ribosomal RNA". It matches the Rfam family "5.8S ribosomal RNA". Rfam says of the family: 5.8S ribosomal RNA (5.8S rRNA) is a component of the large subunit of the eukaryotic ribosome. The record is from RNAcentral. Lineage: Eukaryota; Fungi; Mucoromycota; Mucoromycetes; Mucorales; Mucoraceae.